UACGGAGGAUGCGAGCGUUAUCCGGAUUUAUUGGGUUUAAAGGGUGCGUAGGCGGUCCGUUAAGUCAGCGGUAAAAUUGCGGGGCUCAACCCCGUCGAGCCGUUGAAACUGGCAGACUUGAGUUGGCGAGAAGUACGCGGAAUGCGCGGUGUAGCGGUGAAAUGCAUAGAUAUCGCGCAGAACUCCGAUUGCGAAGGCAGCGUACCGGCGCCAGACUGACGCUGAGGCACGAAAGCGUGGGGAUCGAGCAGG
This 252-nucleotide ribosomal RNA is filed under the name uncultured bacterium. RNAcentral describes it as "partial 16S ribosomal RNA". It matches the Rfam family "Bacterial small subunit ribosomal RNA", at positions 524 to 776 of the family's 1533-position model. The record is from RNAcentral.